GACGAACGCUGGCGGCGUGCUUAACACAUGCAAGUCGAGCGGAAAGGCCCUUCGGGGUACUCGAGCGGCGAACGGGUGAGUAACACGUGAGUAAUCUGCCCUUGGCUUUGGGAUAACUACCGGAAACGGUGGCUAAUACCGGAUACGACAACCGUCUGCAUGGGCUGGUUGUGGAAAGUUUUUUCGGCCAGGGAUGUGCUCGCGGCCUAUCAGCUUGUUGGUGGGGUAAUGGCCUACCAAGGCUUCGACGGGUAGCCGGCCUGAGAGGGUGACCGGCCACACUGGGACUGGGACACGGCCCAGACCCCUAGGGGAGGCAGCGGGGGGGAAUAUGGGACAAGGGGCGGAAGCCUUACCCAACAACGCCGCGUGGGGGAGGCCGGCCUUCGGGUUGUAAACCUUUUUCAGUACCGACGAAGCCCCGAUGAUGGUGGUGAGGGUAGGUAAAGAAGAAGCCCCGGCCAACUACGU
This 471-nucleotide ribosomal RNA is filed under the name uncultured bacterium. Its description in RNAcentral is "partial 16S ribosomal RNA". It matches the Rfam family "Bacterial small subunit ribosomal RNA", at positions 28 to 506 of the family's 1533-position model. The record is from RNAcentral.